GCUGAUCGUCCACGCAGUUCCUCCUUCACGACGUGUUUCGUGAGGUGUUUGCAGUGUGUUUGGGGGGCUGUGAGGAGGAGGAGGAGGGAGGCUGUGGUGAGGAGGAGACUUGACAACACUACCAUCGCCAUCAGGCCAGGCUAAGGCCAAACAGUGCAGAGGAGAAGGAGGAGGAGGAGAAGAAGGAGGAAGAAGAAGAGGAGGAUGUGAGUUCUAUACAUAAAGGCAGAUCAAUAUAUAGAAGCUUAUGGAGUAGAGGAAAUAUGUCAUUCUAUGUAUUAAAGAGGAUAAGAGGGAGGAGAAGGUUAACUUGUAAAUAUAGGCAGAAGUUUAUGUGCCAAGGAAAAUAUUUAAAUGAUUUGUAUUAUGCAUGUAUUGAAAUGGUAUGAACUUGGAUGUUUGUAUGUAUAUGGCUAUGGGAUUUACUUACAAGGUCUGUGGUGUUUUUUUUACUUAUAAGGUUGUACUCAGGAUUUUACUUAUAAGUUCUGUGGCUGUGGGUAACUCCUACAAACCCUUUCUACUAUGGCUAUUAAUUAACAAAAUCCUCUUUCUUUCAGCUUGUGUACUGGCUCAGAAAGUAGUGAAAGGGUGCAUGUUAUCUAUGAAGGCUAUAUCAAUAAGUAUGGAAGUGUGUUAUGGCUAUUAACAACAAUCUCUCUUUCAGCAUGUGUACGGGGUUAGAAAGUUACUUGGCAUAUAUUGAAAUGUCAUGCACUGAGAGUAUUUACGUAAAGGGCCGGGGUUAUUUCUUAUAAGGUACUACGCAUGAUUUUACAUAUACAGCCUUUAGUGUUUCUUUAGGUUAAGGUAUUUCCUAUCCCAGCAUGUAUAAGCAACUUGGGUAUGGAUUUAUGUGUGAGUUACUGAGUUGCAUGUAUACUAAAAUGUGUAUUUGGGAUUUUCGUCUUCUGUGUUUUAUAUAUAUAUAUCCUAAGAAUGGUGUUUUGUUGGGAAAAAAAUUUAUGCACUGGGGUUAUUUAUAUACAAAGUCUGUGGUUAUUUCUUCAUAAGGUAUUUCCUAUCCCAGUACGUAUAAGAAACUUGGGUAUGGUUUUAUGUGUGAGUUACUGAGUUGCAUGUAUACUAAAAUGUGUAUUUGGGAUUUUCGUCUUCUGUGUUUUAUAUAUAUAUAUAUCCUAAGAAUGGUGUUUUGUUGGGAAAGAAUGUUAUGCACUGGGGUUAUUUAUAUACAAAGUCUGUGGUUAUUUCUUCAUAAGGUAUUUCCUAUCCCAGUACGUACAAGAAACUUGGUAUGGAUUUAAAUGUGCGUGUUACUGAGUUGCAUGUGUAUGUGUAUUCAAUGUAUUGGGGCAUAUAUUGUGUAUUGGGGGUAUUUAUUUCAAGGUUACUGAAUGGAGGGGAAUUUAUGUAGGGGAAAGGUCUGUAGUGGGGGUGUCAUAACUAACAGCCUCUCCUGCAACAACUCCUACUGGUGCUUGUGUAUAGAUUUAAUUAUGUAUUGGAGAUAUGUAUUUGAAGGUUAAGAUACUGGAUGGAAGGGUAUUUAUGUUGGGGUAAUAUGAUAAUGUCUGUAGGGAUUUGUCUUAACUUAACAACCCCUUCUGCAAUAACUACUACUACUACUGGUGCUGUCCAUAACUUACAACACUUCCGUACUAGGAGUAUUAACAAAACCUUUUAAUUUUAGCUACCAAGGACAACCUCUGCUGCUCUGGGUAUCAACUCCUGCACUCCUGGGACUGGCAUAACAUCUGCAUGCCCUUGUAACAACUCACUCUGCUUCUGCUAUUCAUAACACCCCGUUCUGCGUCUGCUGUCGUAACAAAUGGCAUGGCUUCUGUAUACUAACUCCUGCUCGCUUCUAGCUUUCGUAUCAACACAUUCUGCGCCUUCCUUCGUAACUAAUCCCACGGCUUCUCUGCAUGACAACUCCAGCUGCUUUCGGCAAAAUUUCGCAUAACAAUUACUCCUGCUUAAGUAUGACAAUUCUCUCUGGGUUUCGUAACAGCACGUAUGGCUUUUGCAUGUGAACGCAUUUCAUUUCUGCUGCUCACUAACCCACACUGCUGGUUUGAGUAUCCUAACGACCUAACCCAUUCUGUAAGCUGCCGCCCAGUGCUUCAGGUGACCCCUAACAAGCCUGUCGGAUCGGCGUCUAGCGAGGGAGGUUCCGUCAGGUUCCGAUCCCCGCUAGAGCUGUCUCCCUUCACCUUAAAAAAAUUAGUUUGACAUAAUUUGAGAGCAGCAGUACAGGCCAGGUAUCAGAGAGGGGUUCAGGCCUAUAUGGGGACACCUCUGUUAGGCUUGUACCUCAAUAAAUAACUAGAAAAAAGUUGGAAAGUGUUAAACAAUGACCAUACGUUACCUAGUCAUGUGUGAAUCCUGACUAUGGAGGGAGAUUAUCCUCAAACACGUACGGUUUUAUAUAUACAUGUCUUUUACCCACCCAUGCGUGCAGUACGGGUGGUGAACUCUGACCUCUAUGAAAUAAAUAUACGUAACAGGAAAAAAAUAAAUUGGUUUAAAAUAUAUUUCCCUCAUCCAUAUUCGGCAGCAGAUAUGUACAGGUUGAAAAAACGGGUUGAUAUCUGAUGUUUGACCCCACAGUUGACCGUUCGUCCCUGCGUCUGGGAUCGCUACGUCAACAUCUUCGGCCGACGUCUCCACCUUAGGGUUGAGUGUCCGUCUCUGCGUCUUUGUGUACCUGCGUUAAAAUCUUCACCACCAUGUGACGUUGAGUCUGGCGGGCGUUGUUUUGGAAUCUCGAGACGGCAAUUUCCCACGGCUGUUAAGGGUAUGGGUCAGGCUGUCAUGGGUGGCUGUUAAGGGUAUGGGUCAGGCUGUCAUGACUGGCUGUUACGUAAGCCUCGUCACGGUGUCAAGGCUCGUAAAACCACCCUUGGAAAUACUAGCAACACAGCGUAUAUGGAAAGCCUUCAAGUGAUGUAGUGACUCGUGGAAAUAUUUGCAACCUAACAUAUUUCGCCCGGUGGUGGUGGUGGUAGGGAUCAUGUUUCUUAAUGGUCCCUCUAAGCGAGAAAAAUGAGAAAAAAUCAUCACACACAAACCAUUUCAUAAUAUAUAUCAAAGCAUUUGCGAUCACAUUAUGCAUCAUCUAUUUUGGGGGGGUUAUAUCAAGGCACAAAUUUCAGUUGUAUGUCUGUUUAUUGAGGGGACUGUUUGGGUCUUGUAUUUUCUGUUGUAUAUUUCCAAGGCCAAAAAGGUCAGUAAUUGGGUUCUCAAUGAUGUUUUUUUAGGUUGAUGGUACAGAGGAAGGGUCAUAAAAGCACCCUUGUCUGUUUUUGUUUUUGUUUUUUGGGUUUUUUUGUUUUUUUACGUCAUGGCCUAUUGCUCCGGUAAGCUUCUUCCCAGUGGAUCCUGAUGGUCGGCCCAAGGCUUCUUCCCGGUGGGGCCUGAUGGUCGGCCCAGCCCAUUCUGGUGCAGGCAAGUGUUUAUAGUGGUGCCAUCUUGCAUUGACUCAUGCUGCCCUCCCGGAGCUCAUCUUUAAUCCUAGAAUCUAGAGUCCGGGUUGAUAGGUGGUCUUCUGGACAGCAUGUGGGUAGUUUUAACCUGAUAGCAGCGGGGAUCAUGUUUCUUAAUGGUCCCUCUAAGCGAGAAAAAUGGAAAAAAAUCAUCACUCACGCAAACCAUUUCAUAAUAAUAUAUAUCAGCAUUUGUGAUAAUUUUAUGUAUCAUCUAUUUUGGGGGGUUCAAAUCAUGGCACAAAUUUAGCCCAUCGCUGCUACACGGUAAAGCCACAAAUUUGGUUCCUUCCCUCCCAUCGUAAGUCUCUCCUCCUCCUCCCUGCCCCAAAACCUUAAUAGUGUAUUAUCCUUACCUGUGUUAGGAUAAUAGGCUACUGGUGUGAUAAACUAAAUCUCUCAUUAUAACCUUUCUCCUCUUCUGUUCAAAGCUAAAAACCUAAUCUUUUUCCCUCUUCCUAUAGCUCAAGCCCAUCCAUAGGGGGGGGGAUUGAGGUCUAGCACUGUCUUGGAUAAAAAUGUGAGAGGAUUAUCCCAGCUUAGCUCAGGCCCUUGGAAACCACUUAUAGGGAAAUACAUGUAAGGUUGUGUCUACAGGUCAGCUAGUAUUCCUCCUGUCUCAUAAUGCUUAUAGUUUUUGCCUUCAACACUGAUUUGAUAACAAGGUGCCAAUGCUCAGGUGAGGGAAAGUGCAUGUGUGUGGGUGGGUCGGACAGAGAGCUUUACUAUAUGAAAAGGCUUUGUAUACUCAGAAUUUGCCAUGUUUAACCCUUGAAAGCUUAGUUCUGGCUAGAUAUCAAGCUCUAAGGCAUCACAUUGAGCAAGGGUUGUUGUAGGAGAAUCAAUUAUUUCCCCAUACAGUAUUUAAAGAGACUGACUAUUUGGAAAGGCUUCGUACACUCAGAAUUUGCCAUGUUUAACCCUUGAAAGCUUAGUUCUGGCUAGAUACCAAAGCUUUAAAGCAUCACAUUGAGCAAGGGUUUGUGUAGGAGAAUUAAUUACUUCCCCAUACAGUAUUUAAAGAGACUGACUAUUUGGAAAGGCUUCGUACACUCAGAAUUUGCCAUGUUUAACCCUUGAAAGCUUAGUUCUGGCUAGAUAUCAAGCUCUAAAGCAUCACAUUGAGCAAGGGUUGAUGUAGGAGAAUCAAUUACAUCCCCACUCAGUAUUUAAAGAGACUGACUAUUUGAAAAGACCUUGUACUCUCAGAAUUUGCCAUGUUUAACCCUUGAAAGCUUAGUUCUGGCUAGAUAUCAAAUUCUAAAGCAUCACAUUGAGCAAGGGUUGAUGUAGGAGAAUCAAUUACCUCUCCAUACAGUAUUUAAAGAGGGAAUUUGACCUUUUGAAAAGGCCUCGUACACUCAGAAUUUGCCAUUUUUAAUACUUGAAAGCUUAGCACUAGUAUAUUUACAAGCUCUUAGGCAUCACAUUGAGCGAGGGAAAUAUCUCGAGGGGCAAAGAAGUUCAUAGGAGAAUUAAUGACCUCCUCAAACAACAUAUAUAAGAAGGGAUUUGACUAUUUAAAAAGGCCUCAAACAUAGAAUUUGCCAUGUCUCUACAGUUGAAGGUCCAGCACUGCUUUUAGUCAAAGUUCUCAAGCUUAAAAAAUAACACGCUUGAUGUAAAGGAAUGAAUUAUCUCCCCAAAACUAUUUAAAGAGAGAUUUUGAGUGCUUGAAAAGGCCUCAGACUCAUAGAAUUUGCCACGUCCUUACAGUUGAAGGUCCAUCGCUGCUUUUAGUCAAAGUCAAUUAAAAAUAACAGAGGAUUGAUGUAGAAGAAUGAUUUACCUGCCCAAACAGUAUGUACCCAGCCCCCUCAAGUACCCAGUGCAUUCCCACCCCCAGUCUCGGCUCCAAAUUACCUUUAUUCUGGGGGUCAAAGACAUUAUAUAUAAGUGUUUUCCCUUCCUGUGUCAGCCCUAAGACCCUCAGGCCCCCAGUAAUUGGUCACCUAACCUAUCCAAGCAGGUGUCUUAGCAUAAUACUGGCGGUAACAUUUUAAUUAACCUUUCCAAUGAGCAAAAACAAUUAAUAUGGAACUGAAUCAAAUAUCCCCAGCAAUUAAGUCUCCACUUUGUUAUGUAACAUUAGUAAGGGUUCCAGUAUAUGUUAGAUAAUUACUAGCAUUGUCAAGAACAGUUUUAAUAGCCUUGCCAAGGGUUGGCCGAGAAAACAAUAUUAUAACAAGCACUGAACUAAUUCUUGAGUAAUUGGACUGAGAAAGCCUUGAUGGUACUCUAUUUUUGCUAUAUUAUAAAAAGUCUAUAAGCGAUGCCUUGGAAAGCUACCAUAAGCAAGGGUUGGUCAAGAUUAUUGAUGUCCAAGCUAUUAAUUAUAUGUAUUUUCUCUUACCUGAAGCCCCCUAGCUCAAGCCCCCAGACCCUCGAUCAGCCUCUUCCAGACCCCCCCAGUAGCUACCUUAUUUUCUGGGGGAUCAAAACCAUUAAUUAUGUGUUAGUUUUGAUAAUUACCUGACAUUAAGUCUUCCCAUGGGCAGUGUCAGCAUUUGUGAAGCCUUAAUUAUCAUGAGCAUAGUUUUAUAUCAAGCACUAACUCUUGGGUAAGACUUUGAGAAGGUCUUAAUGUACUCAAUCUUUGGCAUAUAAAAACAAGUCUAGCAAUGCCUUAGGAAGAUACCAUGAGCAAGGGGUGAGUUAGGAAACUGAUAUACCUAUCCCUCAAUACUGCAUAGACAAUGGAUCGAGGGCUUGUUCAGUAUAUAUAUAUCAGGCACAAAGACAUAUUACUGAACCUUCCACCAUGAGCAAGGGAUGAGUUAGCAGCUUGAUAUAUAUUCCUUAAUACUGCAAAAAUAAUGGAAAGAGGGCUUGUUCAAUAUAUAUUAUCACUCAUAUAGGUUACAAUUGUCCAUCUUUUAGUUUAUCAAAGACAUAUUACUGAACCUUCCACCAUGAGCAAGGGAUGAGUUAGCAGCUUGAUAUAUAUUCCUUAAUACUGCAAAAAUAAUGGAAAGAGGGCUUGUUCAAUAUAUAUUAUCACUCAUAUAGGUUACAAUUGUCCAUCUUUUGAGUUAGUUUAUCAAAGACAUUACUGUAUCUUGUACCAUGAGCAAGGGCCUUAGGGUGACUUAUAGGAGAUAGUUAUACAUUCCUAUGUAUUUCAUAGAGGAAAGGAAGAGAUCUAGAAUGAUAUAUAUUCUAAGGGUUCUUCAUCUCUUAUAGUUAAUUAGUUCAGCAGUGAAAAUCAGUUUUAUGCUGAGUGCUGAGUAGCCUUGAUGUCGAUCGGCCAACACGUACCUCAAGUCAGCAUGCAUUUGUGUUAUAAGGUCAAUAAACUCAUGGCCCAGAAUCAGUCAGCAUUUAUGA
Molecule: long non-coding RNA, 6773 nt
Organism: Eriocheir sinensis (Chinese mitten crab)
Lineage: Eukaryota; Metazoa; Arthropoda; Malacostraca; Decapoda; Varunidae
Exons: 3
Source: RefSeq, a predicted model, not a curated record